CGGCCGCAUCACGUUAAAACACCGGUUCCCGUACGAUGACCGAAGUUAAGCAACGUCGAGUCUGGCCAGUACCUUGAUGGCUGACAACUUGGGAAUACCAUGUGCUGUAAG
Acanthosepion pharaonis is the source of this 111-nucleotide non-coding RNA. Lineage: Eukaryota; Metazoa; Mollusca; Cephalopoda; Sepiida; Sepiidae. The record is from the annotation of a GenBank genome assembly.